ACGCGUUGGGAAGCUCUCCCUAGUCGCCUGCAGGCGGCCGCCAAGCUAGUGACACGGAGGCACAGUGGGGAAUUUUGGACAAUGGGCGAAAGCGUGAUCCAGCCAUGCCGCGUGUGUGAGAAGGCUUUCGGUUGUAUAGCACUUUCGGCCGGAACGAAAUCGCGCGGGUGAACAAUCCGCGUGGAUGACGGUACCGGAAGAAGAAGCACCGGCUAACUACGUGCCAGCAGCCGCGGUAAUACGUAGGGUGCGAGCGUUCAUCCCGAAUUACUGGGCGUAAAGCGUGCGCAGGCGGCGCCGCAAGUCAGGCGUGAAAUCCCCGGGCUUAACUUGGGAAUGGCGCUUGAAACUACGGUGCUGGAGUGUGGCAGAGGGAGGUGGAAUUCCACGUGUAGCGGUGAAAUGCGUAGAGAUGUGGAGGAACACCGAUGGCGAAGGCAGCCUCCUGGGCCAACACUGACGCUCAUGCACGAAAGCGUGGGGAGCAAACAGGAUUAGAUACCCUGGUAGUCCACGCCCUAAACGAUGAUGACUAGUUGUUGGGGGAGUUAAAUCCCUUAGUAACGCAGCUAACGCGUGAAGUCAUCCGCCUGGGGAGUACGGUCGCAAGAUUAAAACUCAAAGGAAUUGACGGGCCCGCCUUCGGUGGAUGAUGUGGUUUAAUUCGACGCAACGCGAAAAACCUUACCUACCCCUGACAUGUGAGGAACCCUGCAGAGAUGCAGGGGUGCCCGAAAGGGAACCUCAACACAGGUGCUGCAUGGCGUCGUCAGCUCGUGUCGUGAGAUGUUGGGUUAAGUCCCGCAACGAGCGCAACCCUUGCCAUUAGUUGCUACAUUCAGUUGAGCACUCUAAUGGGACUGCCGGUGACAAACCGGAGGAAGGUGGGGAUGACGUCAAGUCCUCAUGGCCCUUAUGGGUAGGGCUACACACGUCAUACAAUGGCGCGUACAGAGGGUUGCCAACCCGCGAGGGGGAGCCAAUCCCAGAAAGCGCGUGUAG
RNAcentral lists this ribosomal RNA (1002 nucleotides) under uncultured Rhodocyclaceae bacterium. Its description in RNAcentral is "bacterial SSU rRNA". It matches the Rfam family "Bacterial small subunit ribosomal RNA", at positions 67 to 1290 of the family's 1533-position model. Lineage: Bacteria; Pseudomonadati; Pseudomonadota; Betaproteobacteria; Rhodocyclales; Rhodocyclaceae. The record is from RNAcentral.